RNAcentral lists this ribosomal RNA (542 nucleotides) under Bifidobacterium dentium. RNAcentral's name for it is "bacterial SSU rRNA". It matches the Rfam family "Bacterial small subunit ribosomal RNA", at positions 158 to 711 of the family's 1533-position model. The record is from RNAcentral. Lineage: Bacteria; Bacillati; Actinomycetota; Actinomycetes; Bifidobacteriales; Bifidobacteriaceae.
GGGUGGUAAUGCCGGAUGCUCCGGUUGGAUGCAUGUCCUUCCGGGAAAGAUCCAUCGGUAUGGGAUGGGGUCGCGUCCUAUCAGCUUGAUGGCGGGGUAACGGCCCACCAUGGCUUCGACGGGUAGCCGGCCUGAGAGGGCGACCGGCCACAUUGGGACUGAGAUACGGCCCAGACUCCUACGGGAGGCAGCAGUGGGGAAUAUUGCACAAUGGGCGCAAGCCUGAUGCAGCGACGCCGCGUGCGGGAUGGAGGCCUUCGGGUUGUAAACCGCUUUUGAUCGGGAGCAAGCCCUUCGGGGUGAGUGUACCUUUCGAAUAAGCACCGGCUAACUACGUGCCAGCAGCCGCGGUAAUACGUAGGGUGCAAGCGUUAUCCGGAAUUAUUGGGCGUAAAGGGCUCGUAGGCGGUUCGUCGCGUCCGGUGUGAAAGCCCAUCGCUUAACGGUGGGUCUGCGCCGGGUACGGGCGGGCUGGAGUGCGGUAGGGGAGACUGGAAUUCCCGGUGUAACGGUGGAAUGUGUAGAUAUCGGGAAGAACACCA